This 876-nucleotide ribosomal RNA is filed under the name Staphylococcus aureus. Its description in RNAcentral is "bacterial SSU rRNA". It matches the Rfam family "Bacterial small subunit ribosomal RNA", at positions 1 to 858 of the family's 1533-position model. The record is from RNAcentral. Lineage: Bacteria; Bacillati; Bacillota; Bacilli; Caryophanales; Staphylococcaceae.
UUUAUGGAGAGUUUGAUCCUGGCUCAGGAUGAACGCUGGCGGCGUGCCUAAUACAUGCAAGUCGAGCGAACGGACGAGAAGCUUGCUUCUCUGAUGUUAGCGGCGGACGGGUGAGUAACACGUGGAUAACCUACCUAUAAGACUGGGAUAACUUCGGGAAACCGGAGCUAAUACCGGAUAAUAUUUUGAACCGCAUGGUUCAAAAGUGAAAGACGGUCUUGCUGUCACUUAUAGAUGGAUCCGCGCUGCAUUAGCUAGUUGGUAAGGUAACGGCUUACCAAGGCAACGAUGCAUAGCCGACCUGAGAGGGUGAUCGGCCACACUGGAACUGAGACACGGUCCAGACUCCUACGGGAGGCAGCAGUAGGGAAUCUUCCGCAAUGGGCGAAAGCCUGACGGAGCAACGCCGCGUGAGUGAUGAAGGUCUUCGGAUCGUAAAACUCUGUUAUUAGGGAAGAACAUAUGUGUAAGUAACUGUGCACAUCUUGACGGUACCUAAUCAGAAAGCCACGGCUAACUACGUGCCAGCAGCCGCGGUAAUACGUAGGUGGCAAGCGUUAUCCGGAAUUAUUGGGCGUAAAGCGCGCGUAGGCGGUUUUUUAAGUCUGAUGUGAAAGCCCACGGCUCAACCGUGGAGGGUCAUUGGAAACUGGAAAACUUGAGUGCAGAAGAGGAAAGUGGAAUUCCAUGUGUAGCGGUGAAAUGCGCAGAGAUAUGGAGGAACACCAGUGGCGAAGGCGACUUUCUGGUCUGUAACUGACGCUGAUGUGCGAAAGCGUGGGGAUCAAACAGGAUUAGAUACCCUGGUAGUCCACGCCGUAAACGAUGAGUGCUAAGUGUUAGGGGGUUUCCGCCCCUUAGUGCUGCAGCUAACGC